GCCCUUGUGGCGAGUAGCUGUUCUGUGGCGAAUUUGAAUCAAGCCAUCAAAAAGAUCAUAACAGAAACAUUUCCCCCCGCAAAAUCUAUACUGUUAUCCUUCACUUAUGUUUAAACAGGGACCCAGAUGAUACAUAUUAUGUUACAUGUGUUCUGAUUGGCUAGAUGACAGUUGUAUGAAAACUUAAACCAAUCAAACUGUGUUUUAUUGAUCUAUAGACAAAUUUACUUACUUUCUUUUUGGCAAUGUAAAAUAUAUUUUGAAGAUUGAAGCAAGAGUAAAUUUCUUAUAAACUGUAAAUAAAAACUUAAGUAUUAUAUAAUGAAUAUUUA
RNAcentral lists this long non-coding RNA (332 nucleotides) under Mytilus galloprovincialis (Mediterranean mussel). The record is from RNAcentral. Lineage: Eukaryota; Metazoa; Mollusca; Bivalvia; Mytilida; Mytilidae.